Non-coding RNA from Schizosaccharomyces pombe (fission yeast), 243 nucleotides. The record is from the annotation of a GenBank genome assembly. Lineage: Eukaryota; Fungi; Ascomycota; Schizosaccharomycetes; Schizosaccharomycetales; Schizosaccharomycetaceae.
AAAUGGAUGAACAAUCAGAUCAGGAGAAUAGCUUUUAAUGACAUUUGCAGCUUCUUUUUCACAAAAUAUGUGGCUUUGGUCACUGCCGAAGAGCAUCGACGACAUCGAAGAAUAGUACGGAGCACCUGUGUAGUGCUGACAACCCCCAAAAACACCAACUCGACCGGCUUGACCUUUGUGGAAGGUAUCAAGAAGUGGUGGAAUGAUGCGCUUCACACGAGUCAGCAAAUUUGUAAUUUUGGG